This 654-nucleotide ribosomal RNA is filed under the name uncultured archaeon. RNAcentral's name for it is "bacterial SSU rRNA". It matches the Rfam family "Archaeal small subunit ribosomal RNA", at positions 508 to 1160 of the family's 1478-position model. The record is from RNAcentral.
GCCUAAAGCGUCCGUAGCCGGCUUUGUAAGUUUUCGGUUAAAUCUAUAUGCUCAACAUAUAGGCUGCCGGGAAUACUGCAAAGCUAGGGAGUGGGAGAGGUAGACGGUACUCCGUAGGAAGGGGUAAAAUCCUUUGAUCUAUGGAUGACCACCUGUGGCGAAGGCGGUCUACCAGAACACGUCUGACGGUGAGGGAUGAAAGCUGGGGGAGCAAACCGGAUUAGAUACCCGGGUAGUCCCAGCUGUAAACUAUGCAAACUCAGUGAUGCAUUGGCUUGUGGCCAGCGCAGUGCCGCAGGGAAGCCGUUAAGUUUGCCGCCUGGGAAGUACGUACGCAAGUAUGAAACUUAAAGGAAUUGGCGGGGGAGCACCACAAGGGGUGAAGCCUGCGGUUCAAUUGGAGUCAACGCCAGAAAUCUUACCCGGAGAGACAGCAGAAUGAAGGUCAAGUUGAAGCCUUUACCAGACAAGCUGAGAAGUGGUGCAUGGCCGUCGCCAGCUCGUGCCGUGAGGUGUCCUGUUAAGUCAGGUAACGAGCGAGAUCCUUGCCUCUAGUUGCUACCAUUACUCUCAGGAGUAGUGGGGCGAAUUAGCGGGACUGCCGUAGUUAAUACGGAGGAAGGAGAGGGCCACGGCAGGUCAGUAUGCCCCGAA